This 465-nucleotide ribosomal RNA is filed under the name Vreelandella stevensii. Its description in RNAcentral is "partial 16S ribosomal RNA". It matches the Rfam family "Bacterial small subunit ribosomal RNA", at positions 338 to 795 of the family's 1533-position model. The record is from RNAcentral. Lineage: Bacteria; Pseudomonadati; Pseudomonadota; Gammaproteobacteria; Oceanospirillales; Halomonadaceae.
CCUACGGGCGGCAGCAGUGGGGAAUAUUGGACAAUGGGGGCAACCCUGAUCCAGCCAUGCCGCGUGUGUGAAGAAGGCCCUCGGGUUGUAAAGCACUUUCAGUGAGGAAGAACGCCUGGUGGUUAAUACCCAUCAGGAAAGACAUCACUCACAGAAGAAGCACCGGCUAACUCCGUGCCAGCAGCCGCGGUAAUACGGAGGGUGCGAGCGUUAAUCGGACUUACUGGGCGUAAAGCGCGCGUAGGUGGCUUGAUAAGCCGGUUGUGAAAGCCCCGGGCUCAACCUGGGAACGGCAUCCGGAACUGUCAAGCUAGAGUGCAGGAGAGGAAGGUAGAAUUCCCGGUGUAGCGGUGAAAUGCGUAGAGAUCGGGAGGAAUACCAGUGGCGAAGGCGGCCUUCUGGACUGACACUGACACUGAGGUGCGAAAGCGUGGGUAGCAAACAGGAUUAGAUACCCGUGUAGUC